GCUUACGGCCAUACCACCCUGAACACGCCCGAUCUCGGAAGCUAAGCAGGGUCGGGCCUGGUUAGUACUUGGAUGGGAGACCGCCUGGGAAUACCAGGUGCUGUAAGCU
This is a ribosomal RNA of Echeneis naucrates (live sharksucker), 109 nucleotides long. The record is from Ensembl. NCBI's taxonomy places the organism in Eukaryota, Metazoa, Chordata, Actinopteri, Carangiformes, Echeneidae.